Molecule: ribosomal RNA, 323 nt
Filed under: uncultured Chloroflexota bacterium
Lineage: Bacteria; Bacillati; Chloroflexota
Description: bacterial SSU rRNA
Rfam family: Bacterial small subunit ribosomal RNA
Source: RNAcentral
GAUGAACGCUGGCGGCGUGCCUAACACAUGCAAGUCGAACGAGAAAGCUAUCUUCGGAAAGCGAGUACAGUGGCGAACGGGUGAGUAACACGUUGGUGACCUGCCCCGAGGUGGGGGACAACUGUGGGAAACCACAGCUAAUACCCCAGAUGUUGAGGAGUUUAGACGCCCUUAACUAAAGUUCCGGCGCCUCGGGAGGGGCCUGCGGGCUAUCAGCUUGUUGGUAGGGUAAUGGCCUACCAAGGCUAAGACGGCUAGGGGGCGUGAGAGCGCGAUCCCCCACAAUGGGACUGAGACACGGCCCAUACACCUACGGGUGGCAG